GGAAGUUGGAGAAGCUUCAGACAUUGAUCUCUCUAGCAAUAAGUUUAAUGGUGAAAUACCCAGUUCAUUGGGAGACCUCAAGAACCUGAAUUAUUUGAAACUAAACAACAAUAGCCUUACUGGAUCCAUUCCAGACACUCUGUCCAAAGUUGAAGGUCUCACACUUGUAGACCUUUCUUUCAACAACUUCAGCAGUUCCGUGCCAAAAAUUGCUGCACGAACUUUCAAGAUAAUUGGCAACCCAUUAAUUUGUGGGCCUAAUUCAGAUAACAACUGUUCUGUGGUCUAUCCCGAGCCUGUUUCCUUCCCGCCAGAUGGUGUCAAAGAUGGGUCAGAAUCAGGGACAAAGAGCCACCGUGUGGCUGUCACUUUUGGCGUGAGCUUUGGUGCUGCCUUUUUAAUUAUAGUAAUCAUUGGAUCAUUUGUUUGGUGGAGAUAUAGACACAACCAGCAAAUUUUCU
This is a non-coding RNA of Camellia sinensis, 461 nucleotides long. Lineage: Eukaryota; Viridiplantae; Streptophyta; Magnoliopsida; Ericales; Theaceae. The record is from RefSeq and is a predicted model, not a curated record.